CCUACGGGAGGCAGCAGUAGGGAAUCUUCCGCAAUGGGCGAAAGCCUGAUGGAGCAACGCCGCGUGAGUGAAGAAGGGUUUCGGCUCGUAAAACUCUGUUGUUGGAGAAGAACGUAUGUGAUAGUAACUGAUCAGUAGU
Molecule: ribosomal RNA, 139 nt
Filed under: uncultured bacterium
Lineage: Bacteria
Description: partial 16S ribosomal RNA
Rfam family: Bacterial small subunit ribosomal RNA
Source: RNAcentral